GUGGCGAACGGGUGAGUAACACGUGAGUAACCUGCCCCAGACUCUGGAAUAACUUCGGGAAACCGGAGCUAAUACUGGAUACGAGACGGAGCUGCAUGGCUACCGUUUGGAAAGUUUUUCGGUUUGGGAUGGACUCGCGGCCUAUCAGCUUGUUGGUGAGGUAAUGGCUCACCAAGGCGACGACGGGUAGCCGGCCUGAGAGGGCGAUCGGCCACACUGGGACUGAGACACGGCCCAGACUCCUACGGGAGGCAGCAGUGGGGAAUAUUGCACAAUGGGCGAAAGCCUGAUGCAGCGACGCCGCGUGAGGGAUGACGGCCUUCGGGUUGUAAACCUCUUUCAGCAGGGAAGAAGCGAAAGUGACGGUACCUGCAGAAGAAGCACCGGCUAACUACGUGCCAGCAGCCGCGGUAAUACGUAGGGUGCGAGCGUUGUCCGGAAUUAUUGGGCGUAAAGAGCUUGUAGGCGGUUUGUCGCGUCUGCCGUGAAAAUUCGAGGCUCAACCUCGAACUUGCGGUGGGUACGGGCAGACUAGAGUGUGGUAGGGGAGACUGGAAUUCCUGGUGUAGCGGUGAAAU
RNAcentral lists this ribosomal RNA (578 nucleotides) under Phycicoccus sp. I14A-00913. Its description in RNAcentral is "bacterial SSU rRNA". It matches the Rfam family "Bacterial small subunit ribosomal RNA", at positions 95 to 687 of the family's 1533-position model. Lineage: Bacteria; Bacillati; Actinomycetota; Actinomycetes; Micrococcales; Intrasporangiaceae. The record is from RNAcentral.